RNAcentral lists this transfer RNA (76 nucleotides) under Clostridiales bacterium. RNAcentral's name for it is "tRNA-Thr". It matches the Rfam family "tRNA". Rfam says of the family: Transfer RNA (tRNA) molecules are approximately 80 nucleotides in length. Lineage: Bacteria; Bacillati; Bacillota; Clostridia; Eubacteriales. The record is from RNAcentral.
GCUGGUAUUGCACAGUCGGUAGUGCGCAUCACUCGUAAUGAUGAGGUCGUCAGUUCGAUUCUGACUACCAGCUCCA